RNAcentral lists this ribosomal RNA (253 nucleotides) under uncultured bacterium. Its description in RNAcentral is "partial 16S ribosomal RNA". It matches the Rfam family "Bacterial small subunit ribosomal RNA", at positions 524 to 776 of the family's 1533-position model. The record is from RNAcentral.
UACGGAGGAUCCAAGCGUUAUCCGGAUUUAUUGGGUUUAAAGGGUGCGUAGGCGGCUUAUUAAGUCAGGGGUGAAAGACGGUGGCUCAACCAUCGCAGUGCCCUUGAUACUGAUGAGCUUGAAUACACUAGAGGUAGGCGGAAUGUGACAAGUAGCGGUGAAAUGCAUAGAUAUGUCACAGAACACCGAUUGCGAAGGCAGCUUACUAUGGUGUCAUUGACGCUGAGGCACGAAAGCGUGGGGAUCAAACAGG